GACGAACGCUGGCGGCGUGCUUAACACAUGCAAGUCGAACGGAAAGGCCCUGCUUUUGUUGGGUGCUCGAUUGGCGAACGGGUGAGUAACACGUGUGUAACCUGCCCUUGACUUUGGGAUAACUUCAGGAAACUGGGGCUAAUACCGGAUAGGAGCUCCUGCUGCAUGGUGGUGGAUGGAAAGAUUCGGCGGUUGGGGAUGGAUUCGCGGCUUAUCAGCUUGUUGGUGGGGUAGUGGUUUACCAAGUCUUUGACGGGUAGCCGGCCUGAGAGGGGGACCGGCGACAUUGGGACUGAGAUACGGCCCAGACUCCUACGGUAGGCAGAAGGGGGGAAUAUUGCACAAUGGGCGGAAGCGUGAGGUAGCAACGCCGCGUUCGGGAUGACCGCCUUCGGGGGGUAAACCGCUGUCGCCGGUGACGAAGCGGGCGUGACGGUAAUGGGUAAAAAAGCACCGGCUAACUACGUG
RNAcentral lists this ribosomal RNA (468 nucleotides) under uncultured bacterium. Its description in RNAcentral is "partial 16S ribosomal RNA". It matches the Rfam family "Bacterial small subunit ribosomal RNA", at positions 28 to 507 of the family's 1533-position model. The record is from RNAcentral.